GCCGGACGGGGUGGCGCGUGCCUGUAGUCCCAGCUACUCGGGAGGCUGAGGUAGGAGGAUCGCUUGAGCCCAGGAGUUCUGGGCUGUAGUGCGCUAUGCCAAUCAGGUGUUCACACAAACUUCGGUGUCAGUAUAGUGACCUCCCGGGAGCAGGGGACCACCAGGGUUGCCUAAGUGGGGGGUGGCCCGGCCGAGGUCGGAAACGGAGCUGGUCAAAACUCCCUUGCUGGCCGGGCGCGGUGGCUCAAGCCUGUAAUCCCAGCACUGUGGGAGGCCGAGGUGGGUGGAUCACGAGGCGAAGAGAUCGACACCAUCCUGGUCAACAUGGUGAAACCCCGUCUCU
RNAcentral lists this signal recognition particle RNA (343 nucleotides) under Cebus imitator (Panamanian white-faced capuchin). RNAcentral describes it as "Metazoan signal recognition particle RNA (ENSCCAG00000008583.1)". It matches the Rfam family "Metazoan signal recognition particle RNA". Rfam says of the family: The signal recognition particle (SRP) is a universally conserved ribonucleoprotein. It is involved in the co-translational targeting of proteins to membranes. The record is from RNAcentral. Lineage: Eukaryota; Metazoa; Chordata; Mammalia; Primates; Cebidae.